GACGAACGCUGGCGGCGUGCUUAACACAUGCAAGUCGAACGGUGAAGCGCCUUCCUUUUUGGUGGGUGCGGAUGAGUGGCGAACGGGUGAGUAACACGUGAGUAACCUGCCCCCUUCUUCUGGAUAACCGCAUGAAAGUGUGGCUAAUACGGGAUAUUCUGGGUCUGUCGCAUGAUGGGUCUGGGAAAGAUAUUGUUUCGGUGGGGGAUGGGCUCGCGGCCUAUCAGCUUGUUGGUGGGGUGAUGGCCUACCAAGGCGGUGACGGGUAGCCGGCCUGAGGGGGUGGACGGUCACACUGGGACUGAGACACGGCCCAGACUCCUACGGGAGGCAGCAGUGGGGAAUAUUGCACAAUGGGCGCAAGCCUGAUGCAGCGACGCCGCGUGAGGGAUGGAGGCCUUCGGGUUGUGAACCUCUUUCGCCAGUGAAGCAGGCCUGCCUCGUUUGUGGGUGGGUUGACGGUAGCUGGAUAAGAAGCGCCGGCUAACUACGUG
This 494-nucleotide ribosomal RNA is filed under the name uncultured bacterium. RNAcentral describes it as "partial 16S ribosomal RNA". It matches the Rfam family "Bacterial small subunit ribosomal RNA", at positions 28 to 507 of the family's 1533-position model. The record is from RNAcentral.